Molecule: long non-coding RNA, 619 nt
Filed under: Panthera leo (lion)
Lineage: Eukaryota; Metazoa; Chordata; Mammalia; Carnivora; Felidae
Description: lncRNA (ENSPLOG00000003604.1)
Source: RNAcentral
UUCUGCUUCCCUCAACAGAAGAGAAGUCAACCCUUCUUUUGAUAGGUAGUGAACAUGUACCUGUUCAGAAAAGUUUCCUCAUUGCUUCACAUCAAGAAGAGGUUCUUUAAGCAUGCAAAUAAUCCAUUAAAAAAAUGCUUCAGAGAGUAAUAUUGUCAUCGUAUAUGAAGCACUGACCAGGCAAUAAACUACACCCACUACUUCAUCUACCAAGACUGAUCAAAUGGCUUUCCUUUUACAGUGAUGUCCUCAGUGGGAAGGAAGCAAUAUCUGGAAAUUCCAGUCCCAACCUUCAUCUCCUUCCUGCAACUAGGUGCUAUCAAAACUGUUUGUAGGAAAAGUUUGCUGAUCUAAAAUAUGGAAGUAGGAUAUAGUCCAAUGAAAGACUACAUAUGAGAAGUGCUGAAUAUUGUGUAAAGUAAGUAGUAUGUACAUUCAAAACUGUAACUUUAACUGUGGACUGAAGAGGUCAGAAAAGGAAUCAUGUUAGAGAGUGAACUUGAGUAAGCUGAGGAUAGACCAAAUUACACUCUCGGGAAAAUUCCAUUUGUUGGUGAGGAAACGUAGGCUCUUUGCACUUUGGGAUAGUAAACACUGCUUCCCUUUGAAUGCACUAAUG